This 292-nucleotide ribosomal RNA is filed under the name uncultured bacterium. RNAcentral describes it as "partial 16S ribosomal RNA". The record is from RNAcentral.
GGACUACUGGGGUAUCUAAUCCUGUUUGCUCCCCACGCUCUCGCGCCUCAGCGUCAGUAUCUGUCCAGGUAGCCGCCUUCGCCACUGGUGUUCCUUCCGAUCUCUACGCAUUUCACCGCUACACCGGAAAUUCCACUACCCUCUACAGUACUCCAGCUAUCCAGUAAUCAAUGCAGUUCCUAGGUUAAGCCCAGGGAUUUCACAUCAAUCUUAAAUAACCGCCUACGCGCCCUUUACGCCCAGUAACUCCGAUUAACGCUCGCACCCUCUGUAUUACCGCGGCUGCUGGCAC